GAGUUGAAAGAAGGGAGCAAAUGCUUUUAAAGUUUGCUAUAAGUAUCAGUCUGUGCUCUAGUUAGCAACUAAGUUUUUCCACAUUUCUAUUAGUUUACUCAUCUGAAUAUUUGGGCUCCAUUUCCUUUUGUUUAUUGAUUAUUACAGGUUUGUCAGAAGCGUUCUCAUGUUUGUGGUGUUACUUUUAUUCUUCUCUGAGAUCUCUUACAAUGUUGCCAGUAACAACUGUAGAUUAUUUGUUUUUUUACUAAACGAUCAUAUAAUUUGAAUAUUAGGAAAACCAGAAUUUUAUCAAGAGUGGAAAAAAAAAGUUGUGUAUUUUAGGUUUUUAAUGCUGAAUUUAUUGUUCAAAAUCUGUAAGUCGAAUAAUUCUCUGAAAAAGUAGUCUUGUUUUCUUACUGUUAAAUAUUUUUAACAUUGGUAAAAUGAAGUCUGUUAACUUUGGUUAAUGUUAUAGUUAGAUUACAUUGAGGAGUCUGUUUUUUUUAUGUCCUGUGUUUGGAGUGCGGCUCUGAUGCUGAGCUGUCUGUGUGUGUUAGUAUUAAAAAUUGAUGUUACUACAGUAGCUGAUUUUUUUUUUUUCCCCCCCAAAUAGUAAAGGCAGUUUUCUUUCUAUAAAAGCUGACUUGCACAGGAAAAAAAGUUGAUUGAAAUUAAAAAGCUUAACUGAAGAAUGUAGUAUGCAAAUACCAUGUAUUUUAAUGGACAGUUUGCAGUUCUUAGGGGUGCUCAAACUUUGAGAUAAAGCAUAUGGCAUUUCUGCAGUCAGUGUAAGCUGAAUGUAAAAGCACUAUGUUUUUUUCCACAGGCAAAAACUGUGUGCCUAAUCCUACCUGGUGGUACAUAGGUUUAUGCUGUGUUGGAAUGAAGUCGUAGGAAUUUACUGCAGUGAUUCUGGGGGCAGUCAGAGUACAUUUCUAGUUUGUUGUUUGUAGCAUGUGGCACACUCCUGCUACUUGCAUCACAUCCCGUGUGCACGGUAUGACAGAACCUCUAUUGCACAGAGGCAGAACUAGAUAUAAUGAGAAAGUGCACAGAAGCAUCAAACAAAUAACUGAAAAUGAUUUACUAACUGUUUGAACUAUUAUUUAAAAUGAAGUGGGUAACUUAUGGCUGGGAUAAUAAGAUAGUAUUUUGGGGUUUUGUGGAGUACUUUUGGUUUUGCUUGUGAAUGAUUUAGGGAAACGUCACUGUAAGAUGACAAAAUUAAUGAAAAUGUUUUUUAAUUAGAGAAGCACAUUUUGAAUGCAAAACAUUUUGUUUGAAAUAAUUACUGAUACUACAAAAAUGCAUGUAGGCCUCCAUUAGUUUGAAACUUGCUGUGCCACACCUAGCACAACCAUAUGACAGAGAGAGUUUCUAAUCCUAAGAACUGAAUUUUGUGUCACUUUAAAGUGACAUAAAAUAUUGAAUAGUGUCUUCUCUGUAGCCUGGCAUGGCCUGAUCUUUAAAAUACUAGAAAGUAAUGCAAGAAGCUAUUGCAAAAAAAAAAAAA
RNAcentral lists this long non-coding RNA (1495 nucleotides) under Strigops habroptila (Kakapo). RNAcentral describes it as "lncRNA (ENSSHBG00005018038.1)". Lineage: Eukaryota; Metazoa; Chordata; Aves; Psittaciformes; Psittacidae. The record is from RNAcentral.